This is a small nuclear RNA of Sarcophilus harrisii (Tasmanian devil), 164 nucleotides long. Its record names the gene U1. It matches the Rfam family "U1 spliceosomal RNA". From Rfam's summary of the family: U1 is a small nuclear RNA (snRNA) component of the spliceosome (involved in pre-mRNA splicing). Its 5' end forms complementary base pairs with the 5' splice junction, thus defining the 5' donor site of an intron. The record is from Ensembl. Lineage: Eukaryota; Metazoa; Chordata; Mammalia; Dasyuromorphia; Dasyuridae.
AUACUGGCUCAAGGGUGGUGAUUCCAUGAUCACAGAAGAUGGCUUCCAGGGCGAGAGGCUUCCUCCAUUGCACCUGGAUGUGUUGACCUCAUGAUUUCCCCAAAUGCGGGAAACUCGACUGUAUAAUUUGUGUUAGUGGGGGACUGCGUUCGCGCUCUCCCCUC